This 242-nucleotide long non-coding RNA is filed under the name Carica papaya (papaya). RNAcentral's name for it is "long non-coding RNA (CPAP_LNC012225)". The record is from RNAcentral. Lineage: Eukaryota; Viridiplantae; Streptophyta; Magnoliopsida; Brassicales; Caricaceae.
CUAUGACAUAUUCUUUUCCUACAAAAUUAUGUUUGAAUUGGGCAGUGAAGAUUGGAUAAACUUCUAUUUUUUUUCUUCUUAUUUCUUCUUUUCUGCAAUCCUCUAUUACUUAGAAUUCUUCUUCCUUUAAUGAAGACCUAGAUUAAAACCAGAAAACUUAAGGGUGACUUGCGGCAAGGAGAAUACUUUUUGGGUUUUAUGUGUUCUUGCAGUAGGGAUCUCUCUUUUCUUUGCUUCUUCAU